UACGGAGGGUGCAAGCGUUGUCCGGAUUUAUUGGGUUUAAAGGGUGCGUAGGCGGUUCUUUAAGUCCGGGGUGAAAGCCCACUGCUCAACAGUGGAACUGCCCUGGAAACUGGAGAACUUGAGUACAGACGAGGGCGGCGGAAUGGAUGGUGUAGCGGUGAAAUGCAUAGAUAGCUUCCAGAACCCCGAGUGCGAAGGCAGCUGCCUAGACUGUAACUGACGCUGAGGCACGAAAGCGUGGGGAGCGAACAGG
This 253-nucleotide ribosomal RNA is filed under the name uncultured bacterium. RNAcentral's name for it is "partial 16S ribosomal RNA". It matches the Rfam family "Bacterial small subunit ribosomal RNA", at positions 524 to 776 of the family's 1533-position model. The record is from RNAcentral.